Molecule: microRNA precursor, 103 nt
Filed under: Marmota monax (woodchuck)
Lineage: Eukaryota; Metazoa; Chordata; Mammalia; Rodentia; Sciuridae
Source: RNAcentral
AGUGAGAUUACUAGGUCAUAUGGUAAGUGUGUGUUUAACUUUGUAAGAUACUGUCAAGCUGUUUUCCAAAGUAACUGUGCCAUUUUGCAUUUCCAAUAGCAAC